Molecule: long non-coding RNA, 2288 nt
Organism: Benincasa hispida (wax gourd)
Lineage: Eukaryota; Viridiplantae; Streptophyta; Magnoliopsida; Cucurbitales; Cucurbitaceae
Source: RefSeq, a predicted model, not a curated record
GGAAAAUAAAAAAAUAAAAAAAUAUGUAUAUUUUAUUAUGAAACUCGAUUAGCGUGCAAGAAAAGAAAAAAAAACAAAGGAAUUUGUCUUCUUCUCCUCCUUUGUUUUAGCCGUGGGGAAUCCAGCCACCGCUGUCCACGAUCCACGAUCGCCGCGCCUACAGAGACCCAACCGCCGGCCUAAGCUCCGCCUGGUCAUCCGUCCGUGUACGCCGCCAGUUUGCGGGUUUGCCGUUGGAGUUGCAGCAGCUCAUCACGCGUCCGCCGUGGAACUUCUUAGUCCGUUCUCGCGUCGUCCACCGUCGCAGUAACCUAUCCUCAUGUCGUCCGCCCCCCCUAUAGCCACCGGUCAUUGGUCUCGUCCUCCACCGCUGUCGUUCGCUGUCAGUUGCCGUAAUCUUGAGAUUUGGAUUUGGAAAUUGAAGGUUACUAAGCCGCUAUCAGCAAUAUCAAAAGUGUUUUUGCACGUUUUGAUUGGGAGAUUUGUUUGGGAGUUUUGAAGCGAUUUUUGGGAGUAAACUACACUUUGGGUAGUGAAAACUAGAAUGGAGGUUGGUUUGUUAAAGUUUGGGGCUUAAAAUUAAGCAAUUCCACCAUUCGAAUGGUAGUUAAGAACCUCGUCGUUCGAACAACCGCAUCAUUCAAGCACUCCAUUCGAGAAGCUCAAUCGUUCGAGCAGAAUCUGGGCAAUGUGUCUAGAAUCUGUAUGUGAAAUCCAUAAAUCAAAAUCAGCACAUAUAUAACCGAAGUAGAGAAGCCAAAUCAGGGCAACCGCGAACUCGAUUGAGUAGAUCUUGAGUGGAACUAGGUAGAUCUACAUGAACUCUAGGCGGUCCAAAAGACGGACGGACCUGGGUUCACGACUGGCGGCAGAUCUAUAGCAGGGGGUGGCGGCUUGAGUUUGCCACACAAAGGUCAGUAAAUUUUUCUUACACAAUUUCAAAAUCUCUUUUAUUCAAAGUAUUCUCUAUUUUUUUUUUUUUUUAUGCAAUCUGAAUCACAUUUAAAUUUUAAUGUCCUAUUCUGGAUGUGAGCAAAAGUAGAGUUGUAUAAUGUUUGGAUGAUAAGAAGAUUUAUAGGCAUUAUAUAAUUGGAAUGGUUAAUUUCUUCUUUAAGAAAAAAAAAAAAAAAAAAAAAAAACUUGAUUUUGUAGCUUUGUAGAUAAUGAAUUAUGAAAUUUUGAAGUUUUGGUUUUAAUGGAAAUUCUGAAAUUUUAGUGUGUACCAUAUUUUAGUAUGAAACUUAGAAAGUGUUUCAUUCUAUUCUCAAUUUUAUAUUGAUAAAAUAUACAUUCUUCCGAGAAAAAAUUAGCGAUAAAGUAUGAAUAGAAGUUGAGUAAUAAGUUUCCUUUCACUUCCCGGUAUAAGAAAUAAGUUAUUCUUGAAUCUCUUGUGAACUAAAAAAAUGUAAUCAAUUUCUUUAAGAUUUAUUUUUUUUUAUAAACUAUAUCCAUGUUCAAGUUUUUCUUUUAUCUCUUUUCUUGUGCUAAUUAUGCUUUUGGGUGACGUGAGAAAAUAUACUAAAACAGUUGUUCUACUGUUUAUGAUGCCCUGUAAUUAAAAAUUUUAUUGCAAGUUGCUUGACUUGAUUGUUCAAGCAAUUUUGGGAGUUGGCCUCACAUAUAAAAAACUGCUAGAGAACCAAAUUUCAAAACAAGAACAUUUAGUGGAUUUAGUCCUUCUAUAAGUUAAAAAAAAAUUGAACCAUUGGGGAAAAUGCAUUCUAUAUAUACUGUUGCUGACAAAUUAUAUAGUAUAUUGAGGAAAUUAUUGGUAUACCUAGGGAUUUUCUUAUACUUUUUAUUAGGAAGUGAUGAGAGAUAUGGAUGCAAAACUAAUUUCACUGAAAAAAUGAAAUAAACAAGAUCAAAGCUUGCAAAUGUCAAAGAAUUAUAGAGUGUCAGUUUAUUUGACAUUUCUAGUGGGGUGGUAUCUUUACUUUAGUAUGUCAGUAUUAUUUAAUUUUUCAUAGAGAAGAGUAUUAUUUAAUCUGAGGGUGAGGGGCAUUGUUUGUAUUUCCUUUUUAGUACCCUUUCUGCUGUACCAGUAAAUAUUUCUUUCUAUGUUGUCUCUUUGCAUUCAAAUAUUUCUUUAUUUUUUAGUACCCUUUUUGCUGUAGCUUACACACACAUAUAUGAACUAUUCUUUGUUUCUUGUUGUCUUAUUGGUCAUUUGAAAAAAAAACGUAGUAGUUUCUAAGUUGUGAUUCAAAUAAAUGCUUCAAGAUAUCUCCUAUGUGGUUUUAUUUAUUUUAGUAAUAGGUGAAAUUUUUUCCCCUUGGUUUCCUUUA